Molecule: long non-coding RNA, 371 nt
Organism: Calliphora vicina (urban bluebottle blowfly)
Lineage: Eukaryota; Metazoa; Arthropoda; Insecta; Diptera; Calliphoridae
Exons: 2
Source: RefSeq, a predicted model, not a curated record
GUCUUUUCAAAAGAUGUUAUUUAAUCUUUUUAGAUUCAUAUAAGUAUUUCGACAUAGAACCAACACAAUUUAGUUGAUCUUUCAAUUUCAAACAGAAAAUCCAUCAUUAUGCAAUUCACCUGGUUCUUUGCCGUCAUCUGCGCUUUGUUCGCCCUUGUUUCCGGCCAAAACUGCCCACACAACUCGAAAUUGGAUAAGGCCUCCAACUUGUGCGUCGCUGAGCGUCCUAUUCAUGGUGAAUGCCCUGCACAAUUCAAAUACAACCUCAACAUUAACAAAUGUGUCUACGCUUUAAGAUAAACUAAUGAAUUUUGUGAUAAAUUUUUAAAUAAUGAUUAAAUGAGUAAAUUUUGUAUUUAAUUAGAAAAGAA